UAAGUACUUCAAAACAUUAUGUUGUACACUGAGUUGUACAAUAAAAAAGAAAAGAAAAAAAAGGGAAUACUACUGAGCGCUGGGGUGAUCAGGUAAGGCCAGGCUGGUGGGGUUCUCAGCUCUCUGGGUCCCCUGAUGGAGCGUGGCAGUGACUCAGCACACCUUGACCCACCGCGGUCUGUGUUGGUGCCUUGGCACCGUGGUGGUGAAUUCUCCUCAAAUGGGAGCAAACGGAAUCCUGUCCUCCUUUUAUAGCAAUGGGGAUGGCAUCCGGUUCUGACCUACAAGCUGCGCAAAGUGCCCUAAAGAAACACCUUUAAAAUGUCAUUCACUCUUUUAAGGAGACACAGAAUCCCUCUUUCCUCUGGGUAUGAUGCCUGUGUGAAAUUGGGGAGGAAAAAAUAAGUAUGUCCUUUUCUUUUAAGUAGAACAUAGGUACAAAAUAAUUUAAACUUCUUUUCGGUCAAGGAAUGUGUGAAAUCAAUAAUGCAUGUUUUCCUACAAUCAGGGGAUCAGCUUUAAUUAAAAGAAAACUAUAAAGAGAAUCAUUUGAAUGAAAAAGGAUUUUGUUUAGGCUCUAUGUAAUACUGCACAGUAUUUUUUCCCCUUCAUGUUAGCUAAGGAAUUGCAAUGUUUAUUAUAAGGCAGCUAAGCUAAGAAUAUAUCUGCUAACUAAUCAAGUGGAGACAAAUAAGUCACUCUAAAACUUGUCUUUUCUUCAUUCAUGAGCGACAACUUUUAUUUUCUUGCCUUUCAAAGCAAAAAGUUAAAAGACUUUUUUGCUGUCAAAUUUACAAAACUAAGAUGUGUUUAUAUAUAAUAUAAUUUCUAGGCUCAAGGGAAUUACUUAAAAUAAUAAAAUAUUUUUGUUGCAAAUAUACUACUGUGAAAUACAUGUCUGUGAUUUUCUCUUGUAAUUAACAUGACAUUUAAAAUUUUUUAUUCCUAAAAAUAAUAAAAAUUCAAUGUCUGCUUUAAAAAAAUGACUAUAGUGACUAAAAUGUUUUUAAUGACUGUGAUGUAUUUUAAUGGCAACAAUUAUCUUUUAGGAGCGUUUAAUGAGACAAAUUAUAAAGAAAUAUAAAGAGAUGCAGAAAGGCGUAUCAGAGCUGCCAACAACCACCACAGCCGCCACCACCAUGAUGUCAACAAGACGAUUGGGCCCACAAACCUGUCAUCCACAAACCUGGCACAAUUCAGGACAAAAUACUGCUUAAAAGAUCACUGAAAGACAACUGUGAUGAUUGGAAUGCAACUCAAGCAGAAUGGUCCAGUCCAGCAUCCCAUGCUGCAUGUGGGAGUCAGAGCAUUUCAGCCACCUCCAAACCAGAACUCUCCCUCGGUCCUUCCCAGAACAUCAUGACUCUAACAUUUUUGAAGAUUAUAGGUCAAUUAUGAUGUUGAAUGCUCUUCAUUAUUCCUCAUAAUUAGAUUCAGGUUCCUCACCUGAUGUGGGCCACGUUGACGGCUGGAAUUUUAGGUCUGUACCCAUGAGGAACUAGAAGAGCCCUGAAGAGAGCUGGAUCCAUUCUGCCUCCUUGGGUUCUUAUUAAGUGACAAAGUAUUCAAUGGCUCUGGACAUCCAAUAUCCUCAUCUAGAAAACAAGAAUAAUAACAUUCACUCAACCUAAGUCUUGCUUUGCUUAAGAUGAUUAUCUAAUGACUUCUCAACAAGGUCAAGAAUGAAGGGAUUGAAGGUGCUCAGUAGUAGAGAAGCCUGAGUACCAAGUCACCGGUAGAACUAUGAUUUUUUGUUGAACAAAAGUUCUCUCAGUCAAACGCACCGUGAUGUGACCUGUGGAACGCAUGAUCCCAUCAGGGGCUGUGUCCUUUGGGACAGGGACGUUGAAGCUCAGACGUGCAUGUUGGCCAGCCAGACCUCCUCUUUGUCCUCACCCUCCAUGUCCCACCACACUCGGGUGGACAAUAUCAUCACAAAUCCUUCAAUCAUGGAAGCCCCUUUCUUCCCCAUCCACUCAUUGUCUGAACUACUGUCUAGAAGAAAUGGAUCCAGGCUGUUGUCCAAAUCUCAAGGGGGUUUUGGUCUAGAUCAGGUUGCUCAUUGCACCAUGGUCUAAUUAUUGAAACAAUAGGAUUGCCAAGGAAGAAAGGAAUUUUUUAUAUGAUAGACAUCUUGCUGGAAGAAAGAAAUUUUUAGUACAACAGACGUCUUGCUAGGAGAAUGGGAGAAGCUGCCUCAAAUCCAUCUCCCCAACUAACAGGCAUCAUGGGUUCUUAAAGGAGAGGCUGCUUGCUUUGGAGGAGGUCAUGUCUAGCUGACAUGAUACCCCAUACCGAAAAGAGAAGUGAUGCAGAGAUUAUACUUUUCAGCACCUUAGGCAAAAGUCCAGAGCAAAAGCUGACAGGACCACCCCAAGCAUUCUGGAAAAUCAUGGCUGGCAGCGAGGGUCUGUGUGCACUUGGAGUCUCUACUUGCAUAAGAGAAAUG
Molecule: non-coding RNA, 2449 nt
Organism: Microcebus murinus (gray mouse lemur)
Lineage: Eukaryota; Metazoa; Chordata; Mammalia; Primates; Cheirogaleidae
Source: RefSeq, a predicted model, not a curated record